Molecule: long non-coding RNA, 1456 nt
Organism: Limulus polyphemus (Atlantic horseshoe crab)
Lineage: Eukaryota; Metazoa; Arthropoda; Merostomata; Xiphosura; Limulidae
Exons: 6
Source: RefSeq, a predicted model, not a curated record
GACAGAAGUAAUUGUCUGUUCAAAGUCAGCAGGAAGUGUGAAAGGUGUUACUAAAACUUCCAGAAAAGAUGAUAAAUAAGAGGUCCACCAAGAGAGCUGAAAGGCCAGGGAUACUUCUUUGUGCCCACUGCCUACCAGAGUUCCCAUGAGAAUGGCAAAAAAGUGUACAGAAUGCAUCAAAUCAGUAUAGAAUGUUUAAGCAAACAUGAACCAUGCCUUCAAGCACUUGUGUGUAUGUGGCAUAGUUACAAAAACCUGUUCAGGGGAGGAGAGCACACUCUUCCAUGGUGCCCAUGAUUGGUCUGAGCAACCCUGUUCAUCGUAGCAAUUCUUUCAGAAGUAUCUGUUGAAAUCGGUGAUUUUUGGCACAUUAUUUCAACAAAACAAUUUAUGAGAAAAUAAUGUGUGAGUGAAUUGCACCACUUUUCCUUCAUUCCCACACUCACCUGCUCCAUCCGGGAAUCUCAAAACCCUCACGUGCUCAGUUUGCUGAAAACUUCAAGUCCCUCAACUGAACAUAAAAGGAGCAGAAUCAAAUGCCUCUCUCUGUGCUUCUCACUAACUCAGUUGGUCACUCCUCCUUGAUCCGGUCACAGUCAAAACAGAGUCCGAUCAUCUUCUUUGCAUCAUACCUGUGAUAUAAUCAAAUUCUGCAAAAUUUGUUUUUUAAAAUCUUUUAAACUCUAGUUCUGCAAAUAAAUUAUUUGAUAUUUUUUAGAAAAUUGCUUGAAAUGCUGGCUGCCUUCAGUUCAAGUAAAGUGCAAAUAUCACCCAAACAGUUUCUGAUACAUUUGUGGAAAAUAUAUUACAGUUUCACAAAGGAGAAACAUCACACAAGCUAUUCAAAGACUUUUCAAGAUAACCAUCCUUAAUUUUGAAAAGAUAGACUAGAGGGAAGGCAACUAACUAGUCAACACCAUCCAAUGGCUGAAAGGACUGUGAAGACCAAGGUCUGGAGUUGGGGAGUUUGUCAUUCUUCAGUUGAUAGUUUGAAGUGUUGCUGAUCCAGAGAAACUCCACCUAGCAUCUAAUUGAGGAUGUCCGUCCACCACCCAAGCUUUGUAAACAUAUAUGUACAAAUAGCACAGGAGUAUCAUCAUUGUAGUGAAAAAAAACGAAUAAAAUUAACCCAUCCAACUAGUGAGUUUCAUAAUAAUGCAUAUUACCAUUUGUGCCAUUUCACUGUUUAUAGUUGAAUUUAACAAUUUUUUGAUGUGAAAUUUUGUGUGUAGAUUUCCUAAAAUAUUGCCUUUUGCACACAGUACAAAUUGUCUGCUUUUUGUUUCUUCAUUUGAGAAAUUCUAAACCUAUUACUAAAUUGUUUGGUUUUACAGUGAAUUUAUUUAAGUGUCCAUAUUAACAUGAAUGUAAAGUUGCAAGUAUGUUAAUCAUUCAUAUGAUAAAAGUUAGAUUUAUCACCUAUAAAACUUAUUGUUCAGUAGUUACUAGAUCUUUU